RNAcentral lists this ribosomal RNA (830 nucleotides) under uncultured Bacteroidota bacterium. Its description in RNAcentral is "bacterial SSU rRNA". It matches the Rfam family "Bacterial small subunit ribosomal RNA", at positions 60 to 896 of the family's 1533-position model. Lineage: Bacteria; Pseudomonadati; Bacteroidota. The record is from RNAcentral.
AGUCGAGGGGCAUAAGUCUUCGGAUUUAGAGACCGGCGCACGGGUGCGUAACGCGUAUGCAAUCUACCUUUCACAGAGGGAUAGCCCAGAGAAAUUUGGAUUAAUACCUCAUAGUAUAACGACUCCGCAUGGAGAUGUUAUUAAAGUCACAACGGUGAAAGAUGAGCAUGCGUCCCAUUAGCUAGUUGGUAAGGUAACGGCUUACCAAGGCUACGAUGGGUAGGGGUCCUGAGAGGGAGAUCCCCCACACUGGUACUGAGACACGGACCAGACUCCUACGGGAGGCAGCAGUGAGGAAUAUUGGUCAAUGGGCGCAAGCCUGAACCAGCCAUGCCGCGUGCAGGAUGACGGUCCUAUGGAUUGUAAACUGCUUUUGUACGGGAAGAAACCCUCCAACGUGUUGGAGCUUGACGGUACCGUAAGAAUAAGGAUCGGCUAACUCCGUGCCAGCAGCCGCGGUAAUACGGAGGAUCCAAGCGUUAUCCGGAAUCAUUGGGUUUAAAGGGUCCGUAGGCGGUUUGGUAAGUCAGUGGUGAAAGCCCAUCGCUCAACGGUGGAACGGCCAUUGAUACUGCCAGACUUGAAUUAUUAGGAAGUAACUAGAAUAUGUAGUGUAGCGGUGAAAUGCUUAGAGAUUACAUGGAAUACCAAUUGCGAAGGCAGGUUACUACUAAUGGAUUGACGCUGAUGGACGAAAGCGUGGGUAGCGAACAGGAUUAGAUACCCUGGUAGUCCACGCCGUAAACGAUGGAUACUAGCUGUUGGGAGCGAUCUCAGUGGCUAAGCGAAAGUGAUAAGUAUCCCACCUGGGGAGUACGUUCGCAAGAAUG